GAUGAACGCUGGCGGCGUGCUUAACACAUGCAAGUCGAACGAAGCACUUAAGAUUGAUUCUUCGGAUGACGUCUUUUGUGACUUAGUGGCGGACGGGUGAGUAACGCGUGGGUAACUGCCUCACACAGGGGGAUAACAGUUAGAAAUGACUGCUAAUACCGCAUAACCCGAUAGGAUCGCAUGAUCCAGACGGAAAAGAUUUAUCGGUGUGAGAUGGACCCGCGUCUGAUUAGCUAGUUGGUGAGGUAACGGCCCACCAAGGCGACGAUCAGUAGCCGGCCUGAGAGGGUGAACGGCCACAUUGGGACUGAGACACGGCCCAAACUCCUACGGGAGGCAGCAGUGGGGAAUAUUGCACAAUGGGGGAAACCCUGAUGCAGCGACGCCGCGUGAGUGAAGAAGUAUUUCGGUAUGUAAAGCUCUAUCAGCAGGGAAGAAAAUGACGGUACCUGACUAAGAAGCCCCGGCUAACUACGUG
This 478-nucleotide ribosomal RNA is filed under the name uncultured bacterium. RNAcentral describes it as "partial 16S ribosomal RNA". It matches the Rfam family "Bacterial small subunit ribosomal RNA", at positions 28 to 507 of the family's 1533-position model. The record is from RNAcentral.